UACGAAGGGUGCAAGCGUUAUCCGGAUUCACUGGGUUUAAAGGGUGCGUAGGCGGGUAUGUAAGUCAGCGGUGAAAUCCCCGAGCUUAACUUGGGAACUGCCGUUGAUACUAUAUAUCUUGAAUGUCGUGGAGGUUAGCGGAAUAUGUCAUGUAGCGGUGAAAUGCUUAGAUAUGACAUAGAACACCUAUUGCGAAGGCAGCUAACUACGCGAAUAUUGACGCUGAGGCACGAAAGCGUGGGGAUCAAACAGG
This 253-nucleotide ribosomal RNA is filed under the name uncultured bacterium. RNAcentral describes it as "partial 16S ribosomal RNA". It matches the Rfam family "Bacterial small subunit ribosomal RNA", at positions 524 to 776 of the family's 1533-position model. The record is from RNAcentral.